GGAACCGGCCGCGGCGCUGCAUUGUGGGAGCAGCAAGCGGCCGGGGGCGCGGGGCGUCUCGGCCCGGGAACAGCCGGGUUCGCGAAGCGGGGCGAGGACGGGGUCUUCGGAGGCUGGAGGCCAGCGAAAUCUGUCACAGCCCGGGCCGAGACUGUAAAACUGCCCGCCCUCAGCGGUCACCACCGAGUGGCAGGUUUUUUCCUCAGACAGAAAAGGGGGUGAAAAAAGAAAAAAAAAAGCCUUUCUGUCCCCGAGGACUGGUUUGAAUUGCUUUUCAUCUGGAGUAGCUGUGAUUCAGCGUCCCCCUUAGCAGCAAGUAUGACCGAGGCAGAAGACGAGGGGGAAAAAACGCUAAUGAAUCAGAUGUGGAUAUAUAGACAGAAAACCGUGCAUGGGAAGUACAAUGAGUUUGGAAGAGAAUUGAAAAGCCAUAGGUACCGGAUCAUAAUCCUCCUAGGACAUGGACAACAUUGGAGAGCUCUCUUCAGAGACCUCAACCUGAGCAAGACGGCUGUCAAAAGGACAGAAGAUUUGAGAAUGUAAUGUACUGAGUUAGAAGAUGCUGUUUGUCACUUUUAUCCCCUUCUUCAUCCUCCCAGCCACCUUAACACUACCCUUAGAGGCAAGAGAACAGAGCACUCUGGAUGGGCCUAGGCAGGCUGUGAAGUACAAGUGCCUGGCAUCAGUAUCUGUCUUUAGUGGUGGCACUGGUGCUGACUUUGGGCAGUUUAAUGUUUCCACAAGUGUUAAAGGGAACGAUGAUAUGGAAUACUUACCACAUGGGGUUGUUGAAAUACUUGCUGUGUUUGGCAUGUAGUAGACCUACAUCGUGUUAACUGUUAGCCUCAGUACACCUACUGGAACCAGAAGCUUCAGGUUAGAGGCCUGAUUUUUAGUGAGGGGCAUUUGUUUAUAUGGUGGCUUGUGGUAGAACAUUGAGUUGAUUAUGAGACCAGAAAUCCAGCCUUUCCCUUAGGAGCAUGAAAAGAAGGGACUUGAUGUCUUGGCGAUGAUUCCGAGUACCAGUGCCAGAGGUAGCUGUUAGUCCCCAGGUGGUGAGUAUUAGACAGAACCAUUUCCUUCCUAUAUGCGUUUGACUUUGUAUUUAUUUUUGGGUUUUGUUCAUUCUGCUGAUAAAUAUCCUAACUCAAAUAUUACUGCAAAUGAAAAUACUCAAAGCCAGGCCCCUGAUGUGUCAUUGUUAAAAGAAAGUGAGUGGGUUUUUUUUCAGAAUUUUAGUCCAGACUUGGCAUUAUUGUUCUGAAUGAGAGUUCUGGAUAGCAGGGCAGGGUUGAGCAAAAGAGUAAUAUUUAGAGAAUGUUUUGGUGUUGACUGCAAAUGCAUUUGUCACUUUGUCUGGUUGGCUUAGCAUCCCAGAUUGGGUAGAAAAAAUUUCUUACAAGUCAUAUGGCAGCUUUCCAAAAAGUCUUUAGAGCUAGGCACAAAUUAUCAAGCUGCUUACCCCAACCUAAGCCCUCUAACUGAGGAAUCUGAACAGUUGUGAGAUGCCUGUUCAGUGCAAUGUUGCAUAGGCAUGAAACAGUGUGCUCCAUCCAUAAAAUCAGAGGCUGCCAAUAAAGUUCCUUGUCAUUGCAAAACCUAAGCUGAACACAUGAUAACCAGAGCCAGUUGAGCUGAAAGGAGUCAUAGAACUCACGUCAUCCAAUCCCUUCAUUUUCCACUCAAGGAAUCAAAUCUUCAGAUGUCGUCUAGUGACCUGCUCAAGAUAAUGCAACUAAUUGGGGUCAGAGUUAAGACUUGAGACAGAAUACAAACAAUUAUUCUUAAAAACCUCCUCUACCAUUUUUUAAAAUUUUAUUAAACUUCACACCAUUUCUACCGUUUGUCUCACCAGCUUUUACCUCUUUGCAAAACAAUUAAUGUUGCAAUAAGCUAGAAUAGCAGAAAUUGGUGAGAAAUAUUAUGCCAACAUAUUUGGUGUUGUCUUAGUGUCUCUCAAACUUCCAAAACCAUUUGAUUAAAUAGUUUGCAGCCAAUGGGGGAAUUCGUUUAUUUUCAGAGGGGCAUUUUUACAUUCAGCAGUUAAAGAAAUCUUUGUUCCAGGUCUGGGCUGUAAAGGUUGGCUUCUCUAUACCCAUGUUGAGGUCUGUGGCUGCCUAUGCCACUGUUAGACCAAGUAUGGCUUUUAAGCAAUUUGAGACCAUUUUAGAGGAGCCCAAAUGUCAUAUGUCUGUGAAUAUAGAAUGUGCAGUUGUCAAGUGAGAGAAACCAGCAUCCCUUGGUGAGCUCCACAGUCAAUAAUCUGUGAGCAUUCAGUCAGGGUUGCAAAGAACAGCCCUCCAUGGUAUUUAAGAUGCAACUCACCCCCAGAUCAAGCUGCUCAAAAUUGUCUUUUUACUCAAGAUCAAGCAUCCUUAGAAGUCAUGUUGUAAGCAGUAGGGAAACUAUCAAGUUGAACUAAAA
Molecule: non-coding RNA, 2424 nt
Organism: Heterocephalus glaber (naked mole-rat)
Lineage: Eukaryota; Metazoa; Chordata; Mammalia; Rodentia; Bathyergidae
Source: RefSeq, a predicted model, not a curated record